GUCAUUCUGGGGAUGGAUAUUGCCUGUUAACAACAGCCCUCUGUUAGCCAGUGGGCCUUGUGUUCGGACUCUAACAAGAUAAAUGUGGACACUGUCUGUCACCCAUGGGCAUUAUUGCACAUCCUUUACCAUGGACUGAUGCUGAUGAUGCAGGACUGGAACAUUUGUUUGCUUUCAAUGGGCAUGCCCCACCCCCCCUUUAUUCCCCAUUUCCAAAUAACACACUAUGGUUAUAUUUUAAGUCCGGAAAAUAGUUUGUGGUCAUAACUGGCCUCCCACAGACAGGAGAACCAGGAGGAGGGAGCACACCAGGCCACCUACAGUGCAUGUCCGCCCAGGAAGGACAGUGCGUAAGAGGGCAAGAAGAUGGGAAGGCCCGGGAGACGGCAGUUGUUGCUUUCGUGAUGUUUCUCGAUGACAAAAAGUGAAACUUUUUGAAAUGAUCAAAGAUGUCAAUUAAUUCUAUAAAACACUCAAUCAGAAGGAGAAAAAAAACAUUGGGACUUAUUUAACGUGUAAAUAAAUCAAUCAUAAGGAACAAGUUACAUAUUCUGCUUCUUCUGAAACACAAACUGCUUGUGGCCAGAAGAGGAGCCUUAUCCACAACCCAUUGUGAGGGAGGCCGUCUGUCCAGGAGAGUGCUUCAGGAGGGAGGUGAAGAUUCCCACCAAAUGCUCUCCUCGUCUUGUUUUAAUGAUAAAUAUUUUUCUAUUUGCUGCCAGCACUCUCCACCAUGUCACUAUUUCUGCAGAGGUUGUCCAUUACUGAAGUUAUUACUCAUGUCUCUGAGUCACAUCCCCUAACCAGAAACCUAUAUGACAGGGAAUUUUAGAGCCCUUCAUUCUUCUCAAAUUGAUAUUUUGAAAGAGCAUUGUUGUGCCAUGAUAACAUUGUUCCAUUUCCUAAUUUGCCAACCCCAAGCAAACGCACACAUAAUGCUUUGAUAAUGAUAUCAUGAUCUGGUGAACUAGUGGAUUGAGAUAUGCCCCACAUAUUACAUACCAAUUGUUGGUUUACUCAAAAUGGCUUCUGACACCAGUUCUCAUUCCAGGUGACCUUGUAAUAAAUGUUGUGCCAAUGUCUUUACAAAUGGGACAUCCCACACUCAGUUCAAUCUAUGUCUUGUCAUGUCGGGCCUUUUUCUUCAUCCACCCCUACCCCCUCCAAUCCACCUGGCCUGGAUCUCAUGCCUUUGGUGACUUUGGUCUGCCUGUUUUAUAAUGUUCUAUUUCUGUCCGCAUGCUGACGAUUGGGAAAACCACAUACUGAUAUUAGGGUGUGCACUGAACUAGAAACAGACAUUAUGGAGCUAGACUAUUUCCUGUCUGACAUGCCCUAGAACCACAAGCACAUUUCUUCACAAACACACACAUAUAUGCGUGCGCGCACGCACACACACACACACACAUACGCACACACACACGCUCUCACUGGUCACUUUGGUGUCUCUGAAGCCAGCUACUCACUGACCCUCACAUAGCCCUUAAACUCCAGAGUAGAUUGCUCCAGCCACUGCAGAAAGAGAUACGUGUUUUAUGAGGCUAUACUCCAGAGGGACUCUUUCCUCUUUUAUCGACAUCCUGAUAAGUUUGUAGACCAGUCUUCAUUAUUUAGUUACAUUAUUGUUUCCUUGAGCAGUACUCACACCACCAGUCUAGCAAUGGUCUGAACGAUUUUGCCACAAUUUGUAAUUACAAGUUGAAAUAGAGUCAUUUUGAUCACAAUUAAAUUAACCGCUAAUAAGUAAUCGGUUUACCAUUAUCUUUUAUCCAAGAUAAGCACUGACAGGGCCAUUGGAAUGAACAGACCCCGCUGCCUUGCAUUAACUCGUCUUUUGUGCCAUUAUUCUAAUGCCAUGCUGUAUAGGGGCUUUUAGUACAGGGGAUGCAUGCAAAUUGUGCAUGUUUGAGCUGAACUUUAGGAACGUCUGUGCUAGCCCAGUAACGCCGUCAGGCUUUGUUUUUUCCUCUGCUUUGUUUGUUUUGAGUUCUGUUCCCUCUUCUUCCCCCACCCUCAGAGUUUGAGCUCAAAUCCCUGCUGGCAACAGAUUUAGCUGAAGGGGGGUGAAUGAAGGAAUGGCUAAAUACAAAUCUCUAGGGGAAAUGAGAGAUGAGGGAAGAGAGAACGGGAAAAUAAAGGAGGAAUAGAAAGAUUUUAUUUUGAAUACAAGGAAUAAAAACGGGGGGAAAAAAACAGGAAUUGUACUGUAUUUGGUUAGAACGAAGUUUCUGUGCCCCAUGCACACUAGGGAAUGCAAUCCUAACAUCUUGCUACACAUAGUUGCUCAUAUACACAUACGGCACAGAGACACCUGCCUAUCUUCUUAAUCCUCCUGUGUGCAGUCUUAUCACGCCUGGUGCACAUGGCUGAGUAUGCAGGACACAGUGAACGGUCUCAUCAUUGUGUACUGCCCCCCACGCACCCCACCCCCCGGGCCCAACAUCUGCCACUGAUGUGCCGUGGCUUUUGAUGCCCAGGCUCUGUCCUUGCGGGUGCACACCGAGUUUGUGCCAUUUUAAACCUGGCCCAGGGAUUUGACCACGGCUCAGUGUUCGGCAGCGUCUCGGCCUCGCUGCUAUCAACACAACACAUCCCCUCCAGUUCACCUCAAGCAACUGCAGUUUCAAUGGCUGGGGACUCUGCAGAGCCCAGAAGGGAGUUAUACUGUAACAGGAAAGGGACUUUAUAGGACCCAGAGUGGAGUUAUACAGUAACAGCAUAGGGAUUCUCUAGGGCCCAUAGUUGGAUAGCUUUAAUACAUACAGUACAGUAGAAGGAGCUUUUACAUUCUUGUAAUUCCCCUCAAUCAGUGUCACCAUUACCGAUGUUCAGGCCAAUAUUUUUCCUCCCUAUUGAUUGCUAUUGUUCCAUGCUGUUACACAUUAUUCUUUAACCUUUUAACCCCAAUUAUCUUAACCCUGGUUUGUAAGCAUCGCUUUGCCAAACUGCAGAGUUAAAUCUAAGCUUAUACAUUAACCUUUGUCUUAAUCAUACUUCAGGUUGGUCUGACAAAGCAUUUUUGCACCCUUAAUUUGAUUUCUGUUAACAAAUAAAGACAAGGAACGCUACUGUCACAGACUUAAUUUUAUUUACACAGUCAAUGUUGAUAUUUGAACUUGCAGUAAAACUGACCGAAAGCAAUAUUAUACUAUAAUUUAUUUUCAUUUUCUGGUCCAAGAUUCUCAACAUUCACCCCUCCCAAAAAUAUCUUAAUGGUCUUUCCAUUUAAUUUCUAUGGGAAUUCCUUCUUUCCCCCUCUUCUAGAGAGGGCAUUUAUUUCUGUGGGAUGUAAAUAUGCGCUACAUUGUUUUCUUCUGUAGUUGGUUUGUUGUUGUUUUUGUUUCAAUAUGUUAUUUUUAUGUACACAGACCUAAAGCAGUGUUGUGGAGACCUGGUCC
Molecule: long non-coding RNA, 3398 nt
Organism: Esox lucius (northern pike)
Lineage: Eukaryota; Metazoa; Chordata; Actinopteri; Esociformes; Esocidae
Source: Ensembl